GCUACACAUGCAGUCGAGCGGCAGCGGGAAAGUAGCUUGCUACUUUUGCCGGCGAGCGGCGGACGGGUGAGUAAUGCCUGGGAAAUUGCCCAGUCGAGGGGGAUAACAGUUGGAAACGACUGCUAAUACCGCAUACGCCCUACGGGGGAAAGCAGGGGACCUUCGGGCCUUGCGCGAUUGGAUAUGCCCAGGUGGGAUUAGCUUGUUGGUGAGGUAAUGGCUCACCAAGGCGACGAUCCCUAGCUGGUCUGAGAGGAUGAUCAGCCACACUGGAACUGAGACACGGUCCAGACUCCUACGGGAGGCAGCAGUGGGGAAUAUUGCACAAUGGGGGAAACCCUGAUGCAGCCAUGCCGCGUGUGUGAAGAAGGCCUUCGGGUUGUAAAGCACUUUCAGCGAGGAGGAAAGGUUGAUGCCUAAUAC
This 423-nucleotide ribosomal RNA is filed under the name unidentified microorganism. Its description in RNAcentral is "bacterial SSU rRNA". It matches the Rfam family "Bacterial small subunit ribosomal RNA", at positions 48 to 465 of the family's 1533-position model. The record is from RNAcentral.